Molecule: ribosomal RNA, 567 nt
Filed under: uncultured bacterium
Lineage: Bacteria
Description: bacterial SSU rRNA
Rfam family: Bacterial small subunit ribosomal RNA
Source: RNAcentral
CCUACGGGAGGCAGCAGUGGGGAAUAUUGCGCAAUGGGCGAAAGCCUGACGCAGCAACGCCGCGUGGGGGAUGAAGGCCUUCGGGUUGUAAACCUCUUUCAGCAGGGAAGAAGCGAAAGUGACGGUACCUGCAGAAGAAGCACCGGCUAACUACGUGCCAGCAGCCGCGGUAAUACGUAGGGUGCAAGCGUUGUCCGGAUUUAUUGGGCGUAAAGAGCUCGUAGGCGGUUAGUCACGUCGGAUGUGAAAUCCCGGAGCUUAACUCCGGGCCUGCAUUCGAUACGGGCUGACUCGAGUGUUGUAGGGGAGACUGGAACUCCUGGUGUAGCGGUGAAAUGCGCAGAUAUCAGGAAGAACACCGGUGGCGAAGGCGGGUCUCUGGGCAACUACUGACGCUGAGGAGCGAAAGCGUGGGGAGCAAACAGGAUUAGAUACCCUGGUAGUCCACGCCGUAAACGGUGGGCGCUAGGUGUGGGGAACAUUCCACGUUCUCUGCGCCGCAGCUAACGCAUUAAGCGCCCCGCCUGGGGAGUACGGCCGCAAGGCUAAACUUAAAGGAAUUGACGG